Lolium perenne is the source of this 1881-nucleotide long non-coding RNA. RefSeq lists it as uncharacterized. Lineage: Eukaryota; Viridiplantae; Streptophyta; Magnoliopsida; Poales; Poaceae. The record is from RefSeq and is a predicted model, not a curated record.
CCUUGCUUGUGGGCCGUCGGAUCACUCUUACAGCAAAUCUUGACAGUGCAAAUUUUUCGCUCUAUCAUAUAAAAGGAAGAAGCCCAGCCCUAGAAAACCCUAGCCGCCAAUCGACUGUGGCGCCUCUCCUCCCCAAUCCCCUUUCUGCCCAACCUCCAGCCCCUCCCUGGCCCAAUCCCUCGUCGCCGUCGCCGUCGCAGGGCUGCCCGGCGGAAGCAGCGCCGCCUCGUCAUCUCAUCCCCUCCCGUGCUCCUCCCCAAUCCCUGCCCUCCACUCCAUCUCAGGUGAGCCGCCGUCGGCCGCGUCCGCUCGACAUGGGGAGCAGGCAUGGAAGAUGCAGACCGAUGAGGGUGUUCUGCCUCCAGCUCAGCUCCGGUUUGGCCGGAAGGACAACGGCCAGCAGCGCAAGGACCUGACCUCCUCCGCGUUAGCACACUGGCCGGCCCUCUUCUUCUUUUUCUAAAGAUCUACACGAUCCGUUUUUACUUGUGCCUGUAAAGUGUUUGAUGAAAAUCCUAGCCAAGAUUAAUGUAUGCAAUAUCUAUGCUCCAUCUAGCUGUUUGCAGUUUUGCAAUUAAGGUCUUAAAAAGUGCUCAACUACCAAUAUUGGAAAGGGAGGAGGAUACGGGCUGGGCAAGGAUUUGGGGUAGCUAACUGUCAGUGCAGUUACACAUAAGAAACCUGCAGAAGUUGCUACUCGAUGGAGUGAAAUUGGCAGGGCAGGGAUUUGGGGGAGCAAACUCCUUUUUUAUCCCGCAGAUAAAUGUAUAAGGCGGUAAGAUGUUGGUGGCUUGCUGGAUAAGAGGCGGGAGCGACAAGCUUUGCGUUUCUGCUCAUCUGUGCAAAGUGCAUAUUAGGCAGCGAGACGUUGGUGAUGAAGACGGCGGUGGAGGAGUUGGGCCGGUCGUCGUCGUCUCCCAAGCCACUACUCCCUACUCCAUCAUUUGCUCGACCCUCACACUUUAAUAUCAUGCCCGGCCACGAGGAGGUCAUACCACAAGAUUUUUGCUACGCCCGUGCCUUGCUCAACCGUGUAGAGGUUGCGCCUCCGCUGCUUUUUCGGCAACUCACUUGUGUGGACAUAAAAAUGCAGAAAGUAUGCAUAGGGACGAAGGUCAAGUAAAUAGCACAGUGGAACUUAACUGGAGUUUUGAUAAAUAGCACGAUAAGCCAUGGACAUGCUACCGCGUUCCCUUUAUUAUUUUGAUGGACUUAGAUUGGUGAUGAAACUGAGAGAGUUGUAAUUCUGUGUGUGAAUAGCUGGGUGGACUUGCCUGCGGAUCUAUCCAAAGUUCAUGGACUCAAGCGCUACUUGCCGCAAUAGGUUGAGAGAAAUUGCAUACUGUUCGCAUGUCCUCUGUUACAGUCAAGAGAACAUACAAAAUUCGGUCGAUGUUUGAUUUGGUCGAUGUCGAUGUUCAUCAUUUCAGGGCCAUAUGUACUCUCAAGUUUCAACUCCUACUUCUUCAUCAUCAUAGAUGGCUCAUUGUUUAAAAAAUAAGAAUAUACAGCUACAAUUAAGUUGAGAGAAUGCCAACCUGUUUCAGGAAUAGCUUUUUCUCCUGAACUCAACUUCCGGGUGGGGGUGGAGGAAUUCAGUAGCCUUUAUUUGGGAAGUUGGGGCACAAUCUAUAACGGAUAUUAGUUUUAUAUCUUUUGCAGUCAUUUGCGAAGUUGGCGAACAAGUUGUUGUCCUUUUUACAAAGGAAGAGAUGCAACACUCCACUACUACCUACUAUAUCCAGGAUGAGCAACCUCUAGAGAUACCGUGUGACAAGACCAGGUUUCCCCUGACAUAUGUGUUGCUACAAGAUCUUCUUCAAUUAUCAAACAACCUGGUCUUAGGUACUUACGCAGCCAACCCAUCAUUCGGAAGAAUUU